Molecule: long non-coding RNA, 1143 nt
Organism: Cynoglossus semilaevis (tongue sole)
Lineage: Eukaryota; Metazoa; Chordata; Actinopteri; Pleuronectiformes; Cynoglossidae
Exons: 3
Source: RefSeq, a predicted model, not a curated record
CUGCAUGUAAUCUCUCUGCUUCUUCGUGUCAUACAUUCUAAAAGCACCUCCAUCGAUGGUGCAUUUGAUGGUAACGCGCCUGAAUUCCAAACAGACCAAUCAGCGCACUCCAUCUGACCAUCUCGACCGUUAACGGCGGUAUGGAUUUCCAAAGAGUUUCCUGCAGUUGCCUCGGUAAGUAUAUUUAUAAAACUCUGGCUAAACUGGAAUUAUUCGUUUAAUCAAGAGGGCCACAUUGGAGGAAGCUGACGUUAAGUCAACACCCCGACAGUCUUACGACUAGCUAAACUGUUAUAACAGCAUAGGAAAGGACUGUAUCAUGUAGGCUUAAGGAAAAUGCUGCUCGCGUUUUAUCGCCGAGCAUCGCGCUAAAGCUGGCAUGUUGAAGCCUCUGACUAGCUAACUAUACUGCACGACGUGUUGAUUGAUUUGUACAUUGAAAUAUAUUCUUAUAACAUAUAACAUGUGGAGAAAACGUCCAAUCUGUAAAAGCAUAUACUUUGCAUUGCAAACUCCACUACAAUGAACCCCUGACGUUUUACUGUGUAGCAACAAGUUGUAAGCAGGUGCUUUCGGGAUAUGCAGCAUUAAAAUCGCAUUUCUAUCGCCACCAUAACAGUACAUCGACAGUUUAUCAGGACGUGACUUUAACGCCAUUAAAAUGCACCGUCUCACAUUGUGAACGCCAGUGAGUACCAUUGAAUUUCUAGUUAUGCUGAUAUUGAGGCUGUUGUCAUUUAAUUUAAUUUUGUUUAUUUAUUUAUUUUCUCCUGCAUUGGUGCUGAGACAUUUAUAUUGAGCUUUGACUGAGAGGUCGUCAACAACCACAUCACUUUCUUCACAUCUGCCUGAUGUUUGGCAGUUACUACUGCUUCAACAUACACUAUCUGGUGUUUCUUUUCAAUAAAUCCUGGAAGAAGAGUAAAAAAGUGUUAUUGGUCAAUCCCAGAGUCUUGACACUGAUCUCAGACCUUGCCAACCAUGAGUGGACCUACCAGUGAUGUUGAGGGAUGAUGUGAUAAAAGGAGUUUCUUCUCAUCUACAGAGGCACCAAAGUUGAGCGUAAAAAGAAAAUAAUCGCUGGCUUUUUCAAACUGUUACAGUUUGUAAGUAGUGUUUUUACGUUUUUACUGCAGUUUAUUG